CAACCUUCAAGGCCAGACUCAACCAAGCUUCUUCACUCAGAUCGGCCCAGUCCGCGACCAGCAGGCCCUCUCCUCUCAGGAUCAGCGUCCGGCCCGACUCUCGGCCCAGCCCAGUAUCCAGAGCCAUACUCAGACAGCCUAGCAGAUCCGCUCGAGCGUACGCACGAGGAGAAUCAGAGGCCGUUACGCAUGGAGCAGGCGGCUGAUACCCUCGUACGCCCGAAUCUGUAUGUCAGAGACG
RNAcentral lists this long non-coding RNA (241 nucleotides) under Manihot esculenta (cassava). RNAcentral's name for it is "long non-coding RNA (MESC_LNC009014)". The record is from RNAcentral. Lineage: Eukaryota; Viridiplantae; Streptophyta; Magnoliopsida; Malpighiales; Euphorbiaceae.